Molecule: ribosomal RNA, 1319 nt
Filed under: uncultured Alphaproteobacteria bacterium
Lineage: Bacteria; Pseudomonadati; Pseudomonadota; Alphaproteobacteria
Description: bacterial SSU rRNA
Rfam family: Bacterial small subunit ribosomal RNA
Source: RNAcentral
GAACGUACGCUGGCGGCACGCCUAACACAUGCAAGUCGAACGAAGUAGCAAUACUUAGUGGCAGACGGGUGAGUAACAUGUAGGUAUCUGCCCUUUGGCCUGGAAUAACACGAGGAAACUUGUGCUAAUACCGGAUAAGUCUUUACAGAGAAAGCUUUAUGCACCAUUGGAUGAGCCUGCACUUGAUUAGUUUGUUGGUGGGGUAAUGGCCUACCAAGACUGUGAUCAAUAGCUGAUUUGAGAGGAUGAUCAGCCACAUUGGGACUGAGACACGGCCCAAACUCCUACGGGAGGCAGCAGUGGGGAAUCUUGCACAAUGGAGGAAACUCUGAUGCAGCGAUGCCGCGUGAGUGAAGAAGGCCUUUGGGUUGUAAAGCUCUUUCGUCGGGGAAGAAAAUGACUGUACCCGAAUAAGAAGGUCCGGCUAACUUCGUGCCAGCAGCCGCGGUAAUACGAAGGGACCUAGCGUAGUUCGGAAUUACUGGGCUUAAAGAGUUCGUAGGUGGUUGAAAAAGUUAGUGGUGAAAUCCCAGAGCUUAACUCUGGGAACUGCCAUUAAAACUUUUCAGCUAGAGUAUGAUAGAGGAAAGCAGAAUUUCUAGUGUAGAGGUGAAAUUCGUAGAUAUUAGAAAGAAUACCAAUUGCGAAGGCAGCUUUCUGGAUCAUUACUGACACUGAGGAACGAAAGCAUGGGUAGCGAAGAGGAUUAGAUACCCUCGUAGUCCAUGCCGUAAACGAUGUGUGUUAGACGUUGGAAAUUUAUUUUCAGUGUCGCAGCGAAAGCGAUAAACACACCGCCUGGGGAGUACGACCGCAAGGUUAAAACUCAAAUGAAUUGACGGGGACCCGCACAAGUAGUGGAGCAUGUGGUUUAAUUCGAAGAUACGCGCAGAACCUUACCAACACUUGACAUGUUCGUCGCGACUCUAAGAGAUUAGAGUUUUCGGUUCGGCCGGACGAAACACAGGUGCUGCAUGGCUGUCGUCAGCUCGUGUCGUGAGAUGUUGGGUUAAGUCCCGCAACGAGCGCAACCCUCACUUUUAGUUGCCAUCAUUAAGUUGGGCACUCUGAAAGAACUGCCAGUGAUAAGCUGGAGGAAGGUGGGGAUGACGUCAAGUCCUCAUGGCCCUUACGUGUUGGGCUACACACGUGCUACAAUGGUAUCUACAACAGGAAGCAAGACUGCGAAGUUAAGCAAAUCCCUAAAAGAUACCUCAGUUCGGAUUGCACUCUGCAACUCGAGUGCAUGAAGCUGGAAUUACUAGUAAUCGUGGAUCAGCGUGCCACGGUGAAUGCGUUCCCGGGUCUUGUACACACCG